Molecule: ribosomal RNA, 467 nt
Filed under: uncultured bacterium
Lineage: Bacteria
Description: partial 16S ribosomal RNA
Rfam family: Bacterial small subunit ribosomal RNA
Source: RNAcentral
ACGAACGCUGGCGGCGUGCUUAACACAUGCCCGUCGAACGGAAAGGCCCUGCUUUUGUGGGGUGCUCGAGUGGCGAACGGGUGAGUAACACGUGAGUAACCUGCCCUUGACUUUGGGAUAACUUCAGGAAACUGGGGCUAAUACCGGAUAGGAGCUCCUGCUGCAUGGUGGGGGUUGGAAAGUUUCGGCGGUUGGGGAUGGACUCGCGGCUUAUCAGCUUGUUGGUGGGGUAGUGGCUUACCAAGGCUUUGACGGGUAGCCGGCCUGAGAGGGUGACCGGCCACAUUGGGACUGAGAUACGGCCCAGACUCCUACGGGAGGCAGCAGUGGGGAAUAUUGCACAAUGGGCGGAAGCCUGAUGCAGCAACGCCGCGUGCGGGAUGACGGGCUUCGGGUUGUAAACCGCUUUCGCCUGUGACGAAGCGUGAGUGACGGUAAUGGGUAAAGAAGCACCGGCUAACUACGUG